This is a long non-coding RNA of Canis lupus familiaris (dog), 6400 nucleotides long. RefSeq lists it as uncharacterized. NCBI's taxonomy places the organism in Eukaryota, Metazoa, Chordata, Mammalia, Carnivora, Canidae. The transcript is spliced from 2 exons. The record is from RefSeq and is a predicted model, not a curated record.
AGUGAGUCAGUGUUCCAGGGCUCUCUGGUUUCAGCAGGAUGAAGAUUUGGAAGGGCUUUGGCCUCAUUUCCUCCGCUAUCAGAUGGGAGCCUGGCUACUUGCCCUUUCUAAUUCAGGCGUGGAGGGGCAGGGAGGAUUUCUGAGAUCCGAAGUGAUGGGAGCUUUGCAAAGUGUGAGACACAGCAGAACCCUCGCCGUGUCAGCCCUGCUGGAGCACCCAACUCGAAAGGCCACAAGAGGCCUGGCGAGGACAGCUCCUGAUGUGCCAGCCCCACCCAGCAAGUUGGGAGAAGCUGGCCACUCCUUCCCAUUUAUAAGCUGAGCUGGUACAUAACGGAGAAAAACAAAGUUGGGCAGGAAGCAGCCUUUUCAACCAGUGAAGAAACCGUUAGAAUCCAUCCCUUUGCCCUGAUGCCAAAGCUCCGCCCGCCCCACCCAGCCACGCUAUCAAGGACACACAGCUAUCAGAGAGCCCUGGGGGCAUUUGUCCCUACUUUAUCAGGGACCCGUGGAAACAUUUCUCUAACUGAAGAUAAAGCCCUCUCCCCUCUCCUUCUCCCUCCCUCCCUAGUCUACCCUCCCCCCCCCCCCCCCCCGCCCCCCCCCCCGUUCUCUUUCUAGCUACCUACCAGAAGGUUCCUGCCAUUUUCUUCCAGUAACAACAGUUCUGAGAAGGAGAGGUUUUCCAAUCAGGACUUGAAGUAACAGGUGGAGAGGCAGGUGGACUACUAUUUCAUUGUAUGCAGAUGCCCCUUUUUAAAAUCCAUUCAUCUGUGGAUGGAACACUGGGGCUGCUUCCGUCUCUCAGCCAUUUGUGAAUAAUGCCGCUGUGAACACGAGACAUAUGAACAUCUGUUCGAGUUCCUGAUUUCAGUUUUGGGGGGCAUAUACCCAAAAGUGGCGUGAGUUGCUGAAUCUUUUGAUCAUUCUGUCUUUAAUUUCUGAGGAACCUAUGGAUUGUGUUCUCUAGGACCUGCACCAUUUUGCCUUCCCACCAGCAGGGCACAGGGAUUCCAAUUUCUCUGCAUCUUUACUGAUCCUUGUUAUUUUCUGGUUUGGGAUAAGAGUCAUCCUAAUGGGCGUGAAGUGGUAUCUCAUUGUGAUUUUGAUCUGUAUUUCCCUAAUGAUUAGUGAGGUUGAACAUCUUUCCAUGUGCUUAUUGACACUUUGCGUAUCUUCUUUGGAGAAAUAUCUAUCCAAGACCUUAGGCUAUUUUUUCAUUGGCUAUUUGGUUUUUUUAUUGUUGUUGAAUUAUAGGAUAUCUUUUUAUUUCUCUUUUUUUAUAUCUCUUAUCAGAUAUAUGUUUUGCAACUAUUUUCUCCCAUUCCAUAGGCUGCCUUUUCACUCUGUUGAUAGUGUCCUUUGAAGUACAAAAGUUUUUAGCUUUGACAUAGCCCAACUUAUCUAUUUUUAAUUUAAUGAUUAAAUUAAAUAUAAAUAAAAUAUGACACCUGUGCUUUUGGUGUCAUAUUUAAAAACUCAUUGCCAAAUCCAAUAUCAUGUAGAUUUUCCCCUAGGUUUUCUUCUAAGAGUUUUAUAGUUUUAGUCAAGGGGGUUUUAAGAGGUCUGUGACUGACAGUGCAUAGGUCAUCCUCAAUCUCGAUUCUGGGGAGACUUUCAUUUCCAAUGUAAAGACCCUCAAGCCUUUCUGAAUGUCAACGUGAAUCCAGGAAUUGGGAAAUUGACAACAUGGACGUGAUGUUUGAAGCCUUUAAUUCAAAAGGAAUUAUUGAGUGUCUCCAAAUUUAUAUCAGUGCCCUGGAAGCUGGUAACAAUGAAAAUCAUGGCCUCUCUUCUCCAAGAACAUAAGGCACUCCUGAGGUGACCAGAUGCUACACACAUGUGAACUCGUGACACUGCAAGGCAGAGUCUGAUGAGCACUUCACCAGGCCCCAGAGCCAAGAGCCAUGAGAACUCAGGAAGGGAGCAGCCACCAUGGGCUUCAAGGGACAGAGAAAACUGCAGGGUAAAGAUGUGGCUUGAGCUAGGUCAGGGGUGCUGGACCCAACUGGAAGAGGCAGAGAGGACCAGGGAUGCAGGAAUGAUUGCGAUUCACUGAACACUUACUGUGUGCCAGGCACAGUGCUCUGCCUGCCAUAUGCAUCACCUCCCUUGCUCCUUCGAACCCUAUAUUUCUCAUUGUCUCUAUUUUAUCAUUGUAAGCACUGAAGCUCAGAGAUCUGUCUCAGAUUAAUUGCCCAGAUAGUAAGUUAUGAAGCAGAGGCUGGGAAUGAGGUUUAUUUCUCUCCAAAGCCUUUCUUCUUAACCAUUCUACUAUUCAAACACUGAAGUUUUGACACGCAGACCAAGUAGACACCCCAGAGAGAGAGAACAGGAUAAGACAGUGCAUUAAAAUGGCACAAGCAGGGAGUUUGAGAUCAAGGAGGAGCAGCCUGGCUGGGCAGGGAAGUUCAGGGGGUAGGGUUGUGGGAUCUAAAGUUGAAGCGAUGGAAUGGGCAGGAUCACAGGGUGCCUCAGAGGAAGCAUGGAGAGCUUGGUCUUGACCUACCAGGGGACAGAAUUGCAGCUCAACCUUCCAGGCCACCUCUUCCCUCUAUACAAACGAGAGCACUAGGGUGUCAGAAGGUUAGGCCAUUUGCCAGUGGUCAGUCACAUUAGAGAGCAGUUGCAAAUUCUUAAGCAGGGUGGCAGCAAUGAAGAAAACGGGAUUCUAGAUGGGCUAGCUGGGCAGUCCAAAGCAUGAAGGACAGCAAACUGGCAGGAAGGAGCAAGCAGCUCUUUUCUUGAUACCUCCUUCGGCAAAGGGUAUCUCUAGGGAGCAUCAUAGACAAGACUCCUUUCAACUGAAGUCUGAAGUUUAGGAAAGCAAAUAUCAUUAGGAAGGUCAGAAUUGCCUUCCCCUGCCAGGCUCAGGGCCCUCAGCUAGCCUGGAGCACCGGAAAACACAGCUGCCCAGAAAACACAGCUUCCCCCUUGCCUGGGGAAGCCUGUCUAAAUGCAAGGCCUGAGACCGGACACCCCCAGCUCUGAAGAGCUAGUGGCCAGGAUAGGCCUCCUGAUGCCAUCUCUUUAUGUUGUUUUCCUGAGCAUCAAGCUGAGCCCGGUGUCUGUACGCCCAACCCAACCGUCCCACUGGGGUCACCAGAGCAGGUUAGAUAAGGCAAGAAUUUCCCAGGCAAGGAGGCUGACCCCACCCUGUUUGAGCGGAGUCUUUAUUGGGACAGGAUUCCACCUGCGGUAUCCACCUAUGUUCAGCCAAGAAAGCCCUGCCCUGGUUGACUAUCCUCCUCGGAGGUUCUCUUUGCUUAAUUAAUUCUAGUAAUAGCUGCCAUCCAUUGAGCAGUAUGCUAAGCAUUUGACAUGCAUGGUCUCAUUUUAUCCCUACAACCCCGUGAUGAAGAUGUAAUUAUUCCCAUUUUAUACGUGAUGGAACUGAGGCUCAGAGCUGUUAAAUAAUUUGCCUAAAACCACGUCGCUAAAAGAGCCAAGACUAAAAUGUAGGCCUGUCUAUCUCCAAAGUCUGGGUCUUUGCUCAUAUAAUUGGUUGCUUUCUAACAUUGGUUUACUGUAGCCACAUCUCCUUGAGGGCAGGGGUUCCCUGCAGUAGACAAUCCAGCUUCAGAGAGUGGCCUUGCUUCCCGAUGCUACUCGUGUUCCUAGAAGCCAGGAGUCUGAUGUUUUUUCCCAAACCAACCUUUGGGCCCAAAUCUGAAUGGCAUCUGAGACCUUAUCUUAUCCUACAAGUGAUGCUCCAGGAAGACAAGAUUUUCAAUUCCCUUCAACAUUUACCCAGAGAGCAUCAUGCAGGUGUGCUCUGGCCAGGGAAAGCGGGGCUGCCACUUGUACAUUCACUCAUUCAAUCAAUAUUUAUCAAGGCUUUACCAUGUGCUAGGCACAUUCUAGGUGCUGAAGACACAAGUGGGAACAAGUCAUAAAGAAUCUCUGUCUCCCUGGAGUUAACAUUCUAGCUGGGAAGAAAGGCCCAAACAAAACACACCAAAAAUCUAUAAGUAGAUAUGUAGUAAAGUGGAAGUAAUGACGAUACCAGGAAGAAAAAUAAAGCAGCAUAGAGGAUGAAGAAUGAUGAGAAGCAGAAUUUUCAAAGGCUCUUAUGAGGAUAAAACAUUUGAACAGAGGCCUGAAUGAAGUACAUGGGAGCCGUGGGAUGAUCCAGAGGAAGAACAUCACAGGCGAUGGAAAAAAGCAAGCCCAAAAGCCCUCCACUAGGAAUUGUCUUGGUUUGUCUUAAGGAACAGGGAAAAAAGUCAGUGUGGCUGGAGUCGAGAGAGUGGGAGAGAGUUGUGAGGUCACAGGGGAAGUAAGCACCAAGAUAGCGUAAGGCUUUCUAGGCCACAGGAAGGAGUUUGGGUUUCAAAUGUGCUGAGUCCCAGGCAUCGUGGUAUGUCACUCAGGUGGGGCUGCCUCUGCGAGCCACAGAGAGGAGCUUGUGUGAACCAAACGCACAAGGACAGCUCAGUAAGUCAGCUCACCCAGCUCUGACUCCCCGCUUGAACUCAGAGCAGCAAAUGAGUCAGGGUCCAGCACCCAAGGUGGGGGAGGGUUUGUCGGUGGCCAGAGGUGAAAGAAAGAGCUGUUGACUCUAUGUCUCAUUUGCUUUGCCCAUCAAAGGGCCUGAAUUAUCAACGGGUAUUCAAAUAUUUUAAAGCUGGGAUCUCUCUGUAUGAGGAAAAUCCUCCCUGGAAACUUACCAUGUUGCCAGUCUCCUUUCUAAGCACCGUACGUGUUUCAUUUCUCAGGAGUAUUAUAAAGGCUCCAUGAGACAGGCUCUCUGAACCUGCCCACUUCACAGACGGGAAACCAAAGUCCAGAGAGGUCAAGCAGCAUGUCAAAGGUUGACAAGUAUGGCACCUCUGGGGUUAGAGCAGGGGCAGGCGAAGCUCCCUAGGGAGGCCCCAAAGAGCAAGCCAAGAAAUCACAUUUUUGAGGUCCCUUCCUCUAGAACACUCCAGGAGCUUAACUCUGCUAAGACCUUGCUAUGGAAUUGUGACAUCUGGGGGCAAUGAUUCAGCACUUGCUAUUUCCUCUUGUCUUAGUUGUAAAAGUGGAUCUAGAAGUUGUUGGAAGGGGGAAAGUCAGAUAGAUAAAAUCAGGGAUGUGGCGGGGGCAGGCAAUAUAGUAGAGAAGCAAUGAAGCUGUCAGCAGCUUGCCCCAGACCUAAAUGGGCCCAGUCCGGCGUUGCUGGCUGACGGAUGGGGGCCCGCCAAGCCCGAGGCCUGUUUGAUGUCUUACACACACUUCAGCUCUUCCCUUAGCUUCUGGCUUCAGCCUUCUUCGCAGCUAGUUAUUUCCUGAUACAGUGGCUGUAACUUCUAAAAGAUGGGGUAAUAACAACAGCUAUCAUUUCUGAGUAUUUACUGUCCACCAUCACCGUGCAAAGCUUUUUCACACACUUUAUGCUACUGAAUCCUCUUGAAACUCCUGCGAGGUGAACAGGUAUGGCAGUGGCCUCACCCUAGUGCCGGCCCCAAUGAGCAUUACUACUGACAGGUAUUAGCAAUUUGACAGAUAGGGAAGCUGAGGCUCAGAGAGGUGAGGUAACUUACUUGACGUCACGCAGCUAACAGGCAGCCGAGCUGUGUCUGUCUGACACCUAUGCUCAUUCUCCUGAGCCUCUGUUGAAAUGGAUUUUUUUUUUUUUAUUUUUAGACUUUUUUUGCGGGUCUUUUCUACCGUAUAGGAAACCUGACUUGUUUAUCACUAAGAUUACUAAUAGGCCUAACAUUCUGUGAAAACAUAUUCACCAGUUGAAAUGUCCUGAAAUGAGUCUGGGAGCCAGAUGCUUGUGACAAUUGAGUAGUUUAAAGGAUUUUGCAUGGGACCUGAAGCCAUGUUAAGACAAAUCUUUAUUUUUGUUGCUCGGUGUGAAUGUCACCGCUAACAGGCAUAUGAUACAACUUAGCUUCUAAGGAUUGAGGAAAAGAAAUAAAAGAAGUAAAUUGUCAUUCUUGGCAUUUUCCCAAUGACAUUUGCAUUUUCAUUUCUAUUAGAAGUCCAUUUUAGCAAAGAAAUGUAGCCUUAGUCACUUGAAACAGCUCUUCCCUAGAAAACAAUUGUAAAUGUAAUAAGCAAAAAGAAUAGAAAAUGCCAACAGGAAAAAUGUAAUCCACCUGGGGUCAGAUUCAUCAUGCAGACUGCUUCAGUCUUCCUCCGACAUUCACAUUCAAUUUUAAUUUAGAAAUUAAAAAUUCUAAAUUCUAAGGCAUUCAGGAUUUGCAAGGAGGGGUUGGGGGGUGGGGAAGAGAUUUAAAUUGCAAAUCCCACCGGCUGGGGAUCAAGUACAGAUUUCCCCAACUCUUGAGAACUAUUUUACUUGCUUGCAUUGCUCUUCUGCAUAAGGCAUAAGGUUUGCUCGGAAAGAGACAAUAAGGUCACGAUUGCUUUAAAAUAAUUCAUAAUAAAAACACAUUUUGAGACUUGA